This 454-nucleotide ribosomal RNA is filed under the name Micromonospora sp. 449. Its description in RNAcentral is "bacterial SSU rRNA". It matches the Rfam family "Bacterial small subunit ribosomal RNA", at positions 54 to 526 of the family's 1533-position model. The record is from RNAcentral. Lineage: Bacteria; Bacillati; Actinomycetota; Actinomycetes; Micromonosporales; Micromonosporaceae.
CAUGCAAGUCGAGCGGAAAGGCCCUUCGGGGUACUCGAGCGGCGAACGGGUGAGUAACACGUGAGCAACCUGCCCCAGGCUUUGGGAUAACCCCGGGAAACCGGGGCUAAUACCGAAUAUGACCUCCGAUCGCAUGGUUGGUGGUGGAAAGUUUUUCGGCUUGGGAUGGGCUCGCGGCCUAUCAGCUUGUUGGUGGGGUGAUGGCCUACCAAGGCGACGACGGGUAGCCGGCCUGAGAGGGCGACCGGCCACACUGGGACUGAGACACGGCCCAGACUCCUACGGGAGGCAGCAGUGGGGAAUAUUGCACAAUGGGCGGAAGCCUGAUGCAGCGACGCCGCGUGAGGGAUGACGGCCUUCGGGUUGUAAACCUCUUUCAGCAGGGACGAAGCGUAAGUGACGGUACCUGCAGAAGAAGCGCCGGCCAACUACGUGCCAGCAGCCGCGGUAAUGC